GAAAGCUUGCUUUCCUGCCGGCGAGUGGCGAACGGGUGAGUAAUACAUCGGAACGUGCCNUGUAGUGGGGAUAACUAGUCGAAAGAUUAGCUAAUACCGCAUACGACUGAGGGUGAAAGUGGGGGACCGCAAGGCCUCAUGCUAUAGGAGCGGCCGAUGUCUGAUUAGCUAGUUGGUGGGGUAAAGGCCCACCAAGGCGACGAUCAGUAGCUGGUCUGAGAGGACGAUCAGCCACACUGGGACUGAGACACGGCCCAGACUCCUACGGGAGGCAGCAGUGGGGAAUUUUGGACAAUGGGCGAAAGCCUGAUCCAGCAAUGCCGCGUGUGUGAAGAAGGCCUUCGGGUUGUAAAGCACUUUUGUCCGGAAAGAAAUGGCUCUGGUUAAUACCUGGGGUCGAUGACGGUACCGGAAGAAUAAGGACCGGCUAACUACGUGCCAGCAGCCGCGGUAAUACGUAGGGUCCAAGCGUUUAUCGGAAUUACUGGGCGUAAAGCGUGCGCAGGCGGUUGUGCAAGACCGAUGUGAAAUCCCCGAGCUUAACUUGGGAAUUGCAUUGGUGACUGCACGGCUAGAGUGUGUCAGAGGGGGGUAGAAUUCCACGUGUAGCAGUGAAAUGCGUAGAGAUGUGGAGGAAUACCGAUGGCGAAGGCAGCCCCCUGGGAUAACACUGACGCUCAUGCACGAAAGCGUGGGGAGCAAACAGGAUUAGAUACCCUGGUAGUCCACGCCCUAAACGAUGUCAACUAGUUGUUGGGGAUUCAUUUCCUUAGUAACGUAGCUAACGCGUGAAGUUGACCGCCUGGGGAGUACGGUCGCAAGAUUAAAACUCAAAGGAAUUGACGGGGACCCGCACAAGCGGUGGAUGAUGUGGAUUAAUUCGAUGCAACGCGAAAAACCUUACCUACCCUUGACAUGCCACUAACGAAGCAGAGAUGCAUUAGGUGCUCGAAAGAGAAAGUGGACACAG
This 970-nucleotide ribosomal RNA is filed under the name Ralstonia pickettii. RNAcentral's name for it is "bacterial SSU rRNA". It matches the Rfam family "Bacterial small subunit ribosomal RNA", at positions 74 to 1037 of the family's 1533-position model. Lineage: Bacteria; Pseudomonadati; Pseudomonadota; Betaproteobacteria; Burkholderiales; Burkholderiaceae. The record is from RNAcentral.